CCAUAUUUUUCAAAUGCGAGAAGGAUCUCUAUAUAAUAUGAACACGCAACCGCAAACUGGAAAGAACCACCACCACCAUCGUCGUGGAAAUUAAGGAACCACAAAAAACCGUACCAAAGGAACGACAAAUCCGAUGGCGGAGUGGUUGUUAAAUCGGUGGACCGGCGCAGCCGCAGCUAUAAUGAUCCAGUGGAGCUGCGGUGCAUCGUACACCUUCAGCAUCUACUCCCCAGUGCUCAAGUCCUCGCAAGGCUACGACCAAUCCACGCUUGAUACCGUUUCGGUGUUCAAGGACAUCGGCGCCAACUUCGGCAUCCUCUCCGGCCUCCUCUACACCGCCGUCACUCCCUACCGGAGCAGCGGCGUGGAGUGCUUGUCGGCAAAGUCGAAGUGGGCCUCAUUGGGUGGUCCCUGGGUGGUGCUGGCGGCCGGGGCGGUCCAGGUGUUCGUGGGGUUCAUGUUCAUGUGGGCCGCUGUUGUUGGGCUCAUUGGGACGCCGCCGGUUUGGGUUAUGUGCUUCUUUGCGUGGCUUGGAGCUAACGGCCAGACGUUCUUGAAUACCACUAAUGUUGUCACUGGCUUGCGUAAUUUCCCUGAAUAUAGUGGUACCAUUGUGGGCAUCAUGAAGGGCUUCCUUGGACUCAGUGGAGCAAUCCUAAUUCAGCUGUAUCACACAUUUUGUGAUGGCGACCCGGCCACAUACCUUCUGAUGCUUGCUUGCUUGCCUGCAUUCAUAUGUAUACUGCUAAUGUUUUUGGUGAGGAUCUAUGAAGUGCGCGACAGCAAUUACAAGAAGCAUUUGAACGGUUUCUCAGUUGUCACUGUGAUUAUUGUUGCCUAUCUCAUGUUCAUAAUUAUUUUACAAAACUUCACCAGCUUAUCAACUUGGGCGCGCAUGUUAACAUUUGUAAUCCUAAUGGUUCUACUAGCACUCCCCUACGGCAUUGCCAUCAAAGCUCAAUGGGAGGAGUCACGAAGCUUCGCGCAAACCUUCUCGUUUGAGAGGCCCCCUUCAACGGACAGCCAAAAGCUAAUCAUGUCGUCUAGUUAUUCUCCAUCAGGGGAUCAAUCGGAAUACCAAGAACUGCCUAGUGAUGCAGGGCAGCUACAAUUGAAUUCAGAUGACAUGUUGACCCAUGAACAAGAAAUGAACCUCUUGCAAGCUAUGUGCACGAUUGAUUUUUGGAUGUUGUUUUUAACCAUGAUAUCAGGGUUAGGCUCGGGGCUUGCAAUGAUAAAUAACAUGAGCCAAAUAGGCGAAUCUCUUGGCUAUAGUACAAUUGAGAUUAAUAAUAUGGUGUCCUUGUGGAGUAUGUGGAACUUUCUUGGCCGUUUUGGAGGUGGUUAUGUAUCUGAUUAUAUCAUGCAUCGAAAAGGUUGGCCGAGGCCCUUGUUGAUGGCAGCAACUCUGGGGACGAUGAUUUUCGGCCAUGUCAUUAUAGCUGUUGGUUUCCCUGGAAACCUGUAUUUGGGUCCUGUCUUGGUGGGAAUCUGCUAUGGUGCACAUUGGUCCUUGAUGCCUACUAUCACUUCUGAGAUUUUCGGUGUAAGGCAUAUGGGUACCAUUUUCAACACUAUUGCUGCUGCAAGUCCGCUUGGAUCUUAUUUACUUUCUGUCAAAGUUGUCGGAUAUAUUUACGACAAGGAAGCCGAUAAAGAAGAUAACUCAUGCUUUGGAAUACAUUGCUUCAUGUCAUCGUUUUUUAUCCUGGCAGCUGUAUCUUUUAUCGCAUUUUUGGCUGGUCUUGCAUUAUACUUCCGGACACGAAAUUUCUAUAAGCUAGUUGUGCUCAGAAGAUUAAAACAUUCUGUGUGAUGACAAGGAAUUCAGGUGGUAUCAUUUCAUCACAAGUGGAACCAUGAGAUAAAUCUGUUGAAAUUAUGAGGAAGUUCUCAGAGCUUAAUGCCCGUAGGUCAGGAACAUAUUUUUGUGUUGAUAUGGGAGUCACCUCUGUUGCUAUCAAGGAGUGGCUGAAGAGAUUGACAAUGAGAACAGCAGUGGUGUCUUCGUAUCCAAUAACGAGAAUGGAUAAUAUAGAAGUGGUAUUCCAAUGGCUUGAAGUAGAGAAACUACUGGUGAAACUAUUAAAAGAGAUUUAUAUGUUAAUGUUUUAAAUAUGAUAAAAGAAAAUGUUGUCCAAUCUAUUGAGCGGUUUGAGCCAACAUAACAGAGUGGGGAAAGAUUUUUGUUGCUAUUGUUCAUAUUGAUGAGCAAAAUUUUCAUAUUAAUGGCAAAUUGCACCAUGCACAUAUUAUACAAGGCCAGCUGGUAGUAGUAAGGACGUUGUU
This is an RNA transcript of Arachis stenosperma, 2289 nucleotides long. It is a transcript of the gene named protein NUCLEAR FUSION DEFECTIVE 4-like, with no coding region annotated. The transcript has 4 exons. The record is from RefSeq and is a predicted model, not a curated record. NCBI's taxonomy places the organism in Eukaryota, Viridiplantae, Streptophyta, Magnoliopsida, Fabales, Fabaceae.